Long non-coding RNA from Triticum urartu, 1374 nucleotides. RefSeq lists it as uncharacterized. The record is from RefSeq and is a predicted model, not a curated record. NCBI's taxonomy places the organism in Eukaryota, Viridiplantae, Streptophyta, Magnoliopsida, Poales, Poaceae.
UUAUUCUGAUUACACCAUCGAGCUGACCCGUAUAGAAACUAACCCCGCAGAACAACCGAACCGAACUGCACCGAACACAAAAAAAACCCCACACCCCACCUUAUCCUCCCACUCUCCCCACGACCCCAGCCAGCCACCUCUCUCCCCGCGCCAGCCCACCUCCCUCCGCACCUUCUCCGAUGCGACGCGCCCCUGCCCUCCCCACCUUCUCCGGCGACGCCGCCCACCACCACCUCCCUCCCCGCGCCGCGCCCCACCUCCCUGCCCACCUUCUAUGGCGUGGCGCGCCCCUACCGCCUCCCUCCCCCGUCCCCAUCCCGGAUCCCUCCUCUCACGCCGCCUCUGGAUGCGAGCCACCGCCACCAAUGGCCAACGCCCCCUUCGGCAAUAGGGCCAGCCCUACCGCCGCCAAACCCCAUGGCCUCGCCGCCCUCACCCCCAGGGCCGACCACGCCCCCGCCAAGCAACCACCGGAUCCAGGGGGAUCCGGUUCCACCUCCCUCGUCUGCCCCCUGCCCCCUGGGUAGCUACCCCUGAUGAGCAGGACAACGGCCGGCGUCGGCGGCCCCAACCCCGCCCCACCCAGCCGCGAAUACGACCCCGCCCCGUGACGCCGACCUCGACGGCCCCGGCCUCCCGCGCCGCCCUGCGACGGCCAGCCUCCAAGGCCCCGGCCCCUGCGCCGCCCGGCCCCGGCCCUGGCCGCUGACGUCCGCCGCCCUCCCUGAUCCCAUCCGACAAGUUCCGCUGCCUCCCCUCCCCUCCGACGAGCUCUCCUGUGUCCCCUCCCCUCAUGUGAGCUGCGUGGAGAGGAAAACAUCAAAAAUGAGAAAAAAGUGUGUUGCGCUCCUGAUGCAAUUUGACAGCUCACAAGAGCAGUACACAACACCAGCAUCAUGUUUGAGGAAAGUUCUUUCUUGUUGCAGAUUAUGGAUGAGCAUCUGCCAUGCGGUUUCAGUGCGGAUGAGGUUUCGGAGUGGUCCACUAAUUUUUUGCUUGCAGUGUAGUGUGGUGAAAUUAUACUCGUCCUCCCCCUUCAUCCUCACCACUUUAUACUUAGUCAUGCAGUGCACUCCUAAAAGUGGUGCAGUACUCGCAAAAUUGUCGUUAGUUUUAUACUUAGUCAUGCAGUGCACUAGCAAAAAGUGGUGCUGUACUCGCAAAAUUAGUUUGUUUCUCCUCACCGACGACAAUGGUGCAGCGCUUUAGUCCAAAACAGUGGGAGCACACAACCAACGUUUACUCUAGAAAGCAGUACACUUAGGUACUGUGAGCAGUUGUGCAAAACAAAAAAGGAAUCGAUUGUUUGUAUUUUGGUUUUGAGACCUGUUGAGUAAGCUCCGGCAACCUAUUUAUCACUAAUGUUAAAAGAUA